GGGACAAAUUCCUAUAAGGAGGGCAAAUGUAGUACCCCGCGCAUUGACCCCGGGCAAGAAAGAAGGGCAAGAGAAGAAGAAGAGAGAAUGGUGCGCGAAAUGAAAGGAAGGACGGGUAUUUAUAAUCUGCGGAAGCUAGAGUAGAGCCCAAUUCUUAAAACU
RNAcentral lists this small RNA (162 nucleotides) under Arabidopsis thaliana (thale cress). Its description in RNAcentral is "ATSL088270". The record is from RNAcentral. Lineage: Eukaryota; Viridiplantae; Streptophyta; Magnoliopsida; Brassicales; Brassicaceae.